AGCUCAAGAAUGUAGAAUCAACAAAUGUCAAUGCCAAAUAGACUCCCUCCUGUUCUUAAGAACCUAUUAAAUUUGAGGUAUACCUGGACCUCACCCAUUCCUCUCCCUUCCCAUCCUCCUUAAUCUUAUGUUUGGCCUAAAGAAAGAAUCAUGGUAAAACAUCCAAAACCCUCAAGACUGGCCGAGGGAACACAGGAAGAUUGCUGAAUUCCUGGUGAUAUUAUGGUUCCUGAGUCUUCUGCCGUGCUUCUUUGCUCCAAUUGGUAUCAUCCCAAUAUAUGUGUAUUCACUUGCGCUUUAUGGGUUUAUGCACUUCUUUCUUAUCAACCCCCCAAAAAACUUUCUACUAUAAAUCCAGAUUUUGGUUGUUUAAACUUCUGAACCAGAAUUUUGCAACAGAAAUACAUACAGAGUGCAAGCCACUGUUCAGUGCAUUCCUGCUUGGCUUCGCUUCAUCCAGUGCCUGUGCUGGUACCGUGACACAAGAAGAGCCUUUCCUCUUCCAGUAAAUGCUGCCUGGCAAAUACUCUACAACUUUCUUCACCCUGACAUUUCCAGCCCUUUACAACACUCACGAAGGUAGGCUGAGUUCUCCCAUCUGAGCCCUUACUACUGCAUUCUGUUGCCCUGGACUCUGCCGUCGCUGCUGCAGGUUCUGCUGAGGCUUCAGUACCUGGACAUCUCACUUUAGCCUUGAAUAUAGUUUUAAUCUCAUUUCAAUUAACAGUUAUUAUCACUAAGAUUUUCAGUCAAUUGAUUAGAAUUGUGAUGCUGUUUCAAUCCUGUCUGCUGCUCAGUGUCUUUAACCUAUGGGUGCGUUGGGUUUUAAUUUAGUGGUUUAGAGUGUUUUUUUUUUCUGUUCGUUUUUGAGGAUUUUUUGUUGUUUUUCCUUGGGGGGGUUGGGGAGGUUGAAAUUUCCUUGUUUAUUAGUGAGGUUAAGAAAUGGUUAGGUGCACAAGAAUCCCUCUUCCAACCAAUUAUUUAAUAUUUAAGUAUUUUCUUUGAUGAACAUGUAAGGAUUGUUUACAGCCCAUUUAACUGCAAAUUGAGUUCUCUGAUCGCUUCAGUUUCUCAUUUCUAUGGAAUCCUGCUAUGACUUGCUACUGUUGGGAAUAGAAAAAAAAAAGUCUUUUAAGUUUAGAACCAAAUGCAGACACUCAGUUUGAAUUUUUACCAUCUCCCAUGAACUGUCAGUGAUUUUCCAUCCUUGCACUAAAAUGUAUUCCUUCUUUGUCUGCUGAGUAGAGAGUAUCAGCCCACACCUUACAAAGUGCAAAGAGCUUUGACUAAUGCAGAUUAGUAAAGAGCUUUUUAAAUACGCACGUAAAUUGUUCUCAGUAAACUUUUCUGUGCGGCUCUAUUGGGAGAUAUAUUCAGAAGUACAAAACUACUGUUGCUGUAAUAUGUAUCUGAUGCCAUGUCAGAUGAGGUCACUGUUAGUUCCGUGAUAUUGGUGUCCCUGAACUUUCACAGUAUGACAUAGGGUCUGUGCUAGAAUAGUAUUGAUAAAUAUAGCCAUUCUUAUUAAGUGUUAGAAUUUAAUUGAGUACCUCAGUGAAGGAAACACAUCCACAGGAAUUCCAUAAUUUUAGUUCUUGCUAAGGAAUGCCAGUACUCAA
Molecule: non-coding RNA, 1619 nt
Organism: Rattus norvegicus (Norway rat)
Lineage: Eukaryota; Metazoa; Chordata; Mammalia; Rodentia; Muridae
Source: RefSeq, a predicted model, not a curated record